This 463-nucleotide ribosomal RNA is filed under the name Staphylococcus aureus. Its description in RNAcentral is "partial 23S ribosomal RNA". It matches the Rfam family "Bacterial large subunit ribosomal RNA", at positions 195 to 656 of the family's 2925-position model. Lineage: Bacteria; Bacillati; Bacillota; Bacilli; Caryophanales; Staphylococcaceae. The record is from RNAcentral.
GAAACAUCUUAGUACCCGGAGGAAGAGAAAGAAAAUUCGAUUCCCUUAGUAGCGGCGAGCGAAACGGGAAGAGCCCAAACCAACAAGCUUGCUUGUUGGGGUUGUAGGACACUCUAUACGGAGUUACAAAGGACGACAUUAGACGAAUCAUCUGGAAAGAUGAAUCAAAGAAGGUAAUAAUCCUGUAGUCGAAAAUGUUGUCUCUCUUGAGUGGAUCCUGAGUACGACGGAGCACGUGAAAUUCCGUCGGAAUCUGGGAGGACCAUCUCCUAAGGCUAAAUACUCUCUAGUGACCGAUAGUGAACCAGUACCGUGAGGGAAAGGUGAAAAGCACCCCGGAAGGGGAGUGAAAUAGAACCUGAAACCGUGUGCUUACAAGUAGUCAGAGCCCGUUAAUGGGUGAUGGCGUGCCUUUUGUAGAAUGAACCGGCGAGUUACGAUUUGAUGCAAGGUUAAGCAGUAA